GUUUGUGGUAGAGCUAAUUCCAGGUUUUCAUCCUGGAUCCUGAAUCCUGCGUGGUUCCUCAGUACCAGGGGAGCUUGGAGAUGCCAAACUUCACGGGAAUUUUUGAGUCUCCAUAAAGGGACUCAAUGCACAUCAUCAAUGGUGCUUCUCCACAGCAGCCACCAUGUCUGUCCCAUCUGUGAGAGCUGGAUGCGCGCCCACCUUGGCCAGUGUGAUAACGACCCCCUAGUGCCUGCGGAGCAGCCCCGACAGCAGGAUGAGGGCCCACAGGGUCCCAUCUGCCCGCCCUGCGCCGACCGGCUGCACCUCUCCCUUGUGCACAGCGACACUUGGAGCUGCUCCGUGUGUCCCCUGGCCAGAGAGGGGACCCUGGCUCACCUCGUCCCCCCCGGCACCCCCAGCUGCCACGGCUGCCCCAUCUGCGCAGCACCCACCCAUGCGCACUUCUGCCAGGCACCCCACGGGUAAUUGCUGGUGGCUGUAGCACCCUGAGCGGCACAAAGCUGGCUGGAGGGAGGGGAGAGUUGCUACACUAACUCCUGACACUGUCAGGAUGAAGUUCUAAGUGCAGUAAAGGUGACCUGAAGUCAAGUGUGUGACUUCACCAUGAAGAAUUCCUUUGUGGAGAAGCAGGAAAAUCAAACAUCCUGACGAAUCCAGUGCCAUGUUGGUUUAGUAACUACUUUUUUGUUUGCUUUAGUAUGGAAAAAAACCCCUAUUUUUACAGCUUUUAAAAUAAGGCUUGAAAAAUCCAGUUUCUUUCCACUAGGAAAAUAAUUUCAUAGCAAACACUCUCAUUACACAAUCUUGCAAGAUUUCAUUGUAUUUUUUAACCAGUUUUUUACUGAUUUUUCUUCACUAGUGUGCAGAUACGAGUGUGAAAUGGCUGUAUUUACAGUAAAACUGUUCUGUAAAUAAAGGAAUAUCUAUAAUGUUUUAUAUCUAAUAUAAAAGAAGCAAUACUGGUAUCCUGAGGGUUGGGGUUUUUUCCAUAUUGACUAAUCAAACCUUCUCACAGAGCGCUUUAAAGGCUUUUGCAGUCUCAUUCUUUGCCAGAUGGAAUCAGGUAAUUGCUGCUGUUGUGGUGCAGUGUUGUCCUAGUGCCUGGCCCUUCCUAGGAACAAGGCGUUGCUGCUGGAGCAGGGCCUGUUUCCAGCCUUAUAUUGGGCAAUGUCAGGGAAGGGGAGUGCUCCUCUCCGGGUACUACCUUCCCUCAUCCCACCCGGAGUAUUCCCACACCCAAAACACCAGGCGGAAGCUCCAGUGACGGGCUCAAGGAUUAAACUAUCUGCUCGUUGUUGGUUUGUAGUCCUUGUACUCCUUUUGCGGACAAAAUUAAUAGUGAUGGUACAGAAGCUGUAAAAAUCACCCUUCUGCUUUGUUGGUGUUUGCCAAGA
This 1397-nucleotide long non-coding RNA is filed under the name Strigops habroptila (Kakapo). RNAcentral describes it as "lncRNA (ENSSHBG00005018991.1)". Lineage: Eukaryota; Metazoa; Chordata; Aves; Psittaciformes; Psittacidae. The record is from RNAcentral.